RNAcentral lists this ribosomal RNA (460 nucleotides) under uncultured bacterium. RNAcentral's name for it is "partial 16S ribosomal RNA". It matches the Rfam family "Bacterial small subunit ribosomal RNA", at positions 338 to 795 of the family's 1533-position model. The record is from RNAcentral.
CCUACGGGGGGCUGCAGUGAGGAAUAUUGGUCAAUGGACGAGAGUCUGAACCAGCCAAGUAGCGUGAAGGAUGACUGCCCUAUGGGUUGUAAACUUCUUUUAUAUGGGAAUAAAAUGUUCCACGUGUGGGAUUUUGUAUGUACCAUAUGAAUAAGGAUCGGCUAACUCCGUGCCAGCAGCCGCGGUAAUACGGAGGAUCCGAGCGUUAUCCGGAUUUAUUGGGUUUAAAGGGAGCGUAGGUGGAUUGUUAAGUCAGUUGUGAAAGUUUGCGGCUCAACCGUAAAAUUGCAGUUGAAACUGGCAGUCUUGAGUACAGUAGAGGUGGGCGGAAUGCGUGGUGUAGCGGUGAAAUGCUGAGAUAUCACGAAGAACUCCGAUUGCGAAGGCAGUUCACUGGACUGCAACUGACACUGAGGCUCGAAAGUGUGGGUAUCAAACAGGAUUAGAUACCCCAGUAGUC